AGAGUUUGAUUCUGGCUCAGGAUGAACGCUGGCGGCGUGCCUAACACAUGCAAGUCGAACGGAGCACCCCGGAACGAGACUUCGGUCAAGGGAAGGGAAUGCUUAGUGGCGGACGGGUGAGUAACGCGUGAGGAACCUGCCUUCCAGUGGGGGAUAACACAUCGAAAGGUGUGCUAAUACCGCAUAACGUAUGUUUACCGCAUGGUAGAGAUACCAAAGAUUUAUUGCUGGAAGAUGGCCUCGCGUCCAAUUAGCUAGUUGGCGGGGUAAAUGCCCACCAAGGCGACGAUUGGUAGCCGGACUGAGAGGUUGAACGGCCACAUUGGGACUGAGACACGGCCCAG
This 344-nucleotide ribosomal RNA is filed under the name uncultured bacterium. RNAcentral describes it as "bacterial SSU rRNA". It matches the Rfam family "Bacterial small subunit ribosomal RNA", at positions 8 to 334 of the family's 1533-position model. The record is from RNAcentral.